GAGACCUACCAAGAACCAUGUGGUUGCUGUUAAUGACCAACUACAACAAAAUGGGCAACCCCAGGCAGUGGUGAGAAUGUGGGCUUGAAUUCUGUCUCUGUCCCUUACCAAUGGCACAACCAUGAGCAAGUUACCAAACGACUCUGUAAUGCCAGGCCCCUAAUCUGCCCAGUGGAGGAAAUACUCCAACUCCUAGAAGUAAUAUGAGAAUUAAGACUGCACAAGGAGCUGACCCACAGGAUAAAGACAGCAGCUGUUCCUUCCCUUUCCCCCAACAUGUAUUUCCCCAGAUGCCAUCCUACAUGUUCACAUUGAAGAGAUAAGCCUCUCAGAAGGAAGAUAACCAUAGAAAGUUGAAAAGAGAAACCUCUUUAGAUGCUGGUUUAUUAAGAAGAAUGAAGGCAGAUGUGACUGGGGCCAAAGAUCUCAGUGCACAUUCCUGACACUCCCCCACUGAUCAUGAGGCCCAAGGAUGUGGCCAGGAGGCCGAGCAUCAGCAGCUGGGAGACUCUUGCUGUGAAAGGAACCUGGGAAGCCUCUGCCACGUGCACAGCUGUGUAAGGAGAAGGAUCUCUCUAUGUUUUCAGGGCUGACCUGCAGCAGAGACACCUACAUAUAAGCAUAAACUUGAGAAAGCAAUGAGCACCCAGGGGAGACGGGGCUGCCGCUUGGGCUUGCUACUUACCAGUGCUGUGUGAACUUUAAGAUGUGCCUGUAGCUUAUAUUUAUCUGGAGUUGAGUAGUCACAGCCAUCGGUGGGACACUUCAGCAAGAUGUUACUGUGUUUCUGAAUUACGUGGCGUUUAAGGCAGUUUUUGGUGAUGGAAGAAUAAUGACACUGAGAGCAAUAAUACAGAUGUUCCCGGGUGUGGGUGCGGACAUGCAUAUCAAAAUGCACUUGGUACCAAAAAAGUUUGCCUAAAAAAAUAUUUUCACAUG
Molecule: long non-coding RNA, 939 nt
Organism: Homo sapiens (human)
Lineage: Eukaryota; Metazoa; Chordata; Mammalia; Primates; Hominidae
Gene: ZFAT-AS1
Product: ZFAT antisense RNA 1
Source: Ensembl